GGUGCGGGGGGCGCUGCGGGUGGCGCGGGUCGGCUUCACGGGCUGAGCGCCGGUACGGCGAAGGGCCCGGCACCGAACGCGUCGGUGCCGGGCCUC
RNAcentral lists this transfer RNA (96 nucleotides) under Streptomyces albogriseolus. RNAcentral's name for it is "tRNA-Val". The record is from RNAcentral. Lineage: Bacteria; Bacillati; Actinomycetota; Actinomycetes; Kitasatosporales; Streptomycetaceae.